RNAcentral lists this ribosomal RNA (576 nucleotides) under fungal sp. 57521. Its description in RNAcentral is "eukaryotic LSU rRNA". The stretch from base 210 to 363 matches the Rfam family "5.8S ribosomal RNA". The record is from RNAcentral. Lineage: Eukaryota; Fungi.
GGUGAACCUGCGGAAGGAUCAUUACCGAGUGCGGGUCCUUUGGGCCAACCUCCCAUCCGUGUCUAUUAUACCCUGUUGCUUCGGCGGGCCCGCCGCUUGUCGGCCGCCGGGGGGGCGCCUUUGCCCCCCGGGCCCGUGCCCGCCGGAGACCCCAACACGAACACUGUCUGAAAGCGUGCAGUCUGAGUUGAUUGAAUGCAAUCAGUUAAAACUUUCAACAAUGGAUCUCUUGGUUCCGGCAUCGAUGAAGAACGCAGCGAAAUGCGAUAACUAAUGUGAAUUGCAGAAUUCAGUGAAUCAUCGAGUCUUUGAACGCACAUUGCGCCCCCUGGUAUUCCGGGGGGCAUGCCUGUCCGAGCGUCAUUGCUGCCCUCAAGCCCGGCUUGUGUGUGGGGUCGCCGUCCCCCUCUCCGGGGGGACGGGCCCGAAAGGCAGCGGCGGCACCGCGUCCGAUCCUCGAGCGUAUGGGGCUUUGUCACAUGCUCUGUAGGAUUGGCCGGCGCCUGCCGACGUUUUCCAACCAUUCUUUCCAGGUUGACCUCGGAUCAGGUAGGGAUACCCGCUGAACUUAAGCAU